AAAUAUCAUCUAUACUCAUAAGAUUCUUAGAAUCUAGGUAACAAAAAACACAAAUAUACAAGCACAAAAAGUUUUGUAUUACAUUUUGUUGUCAUGUAAAAGAUAAUUGUAAAAAGAAAUUUAAAGAUAGCAAAUUGUUUAAAGAUAACAUGAUCAAGAAUCAUGACAAAAAUCAUAGGUUGACCUUAGAAAACUUUAAAAAAUCAAACAAGACAAAUUCAAAUAUUUAAAAAUCAAAAAAAAAAAUUUUAACAUCAAAUAACUAUAUUUCUUGAAAUAAAAAAAAUAGAAGUAUUUUAUCGAAAGAUAAAUCUGGAAAGAAAAACGUAUAUGGAAAUUAAUGCUAAUCAAUCAUAAUCAAUGACAAUUUAUACAAUACAUAUGGCAAGAAUUCAUCAAAUCUACUUGACUCUUAAAAAUCUUUGAACUUCAAAAUUUUUCUGAUUCCACACAAAUUCCAUUUCCAAUAGGCCCCCUUUAGAAACAUUAAGGUAUAAAUGUGAUAAUAACUUGGGCAAUAAAUAUUUAAAAUAAAUAAGGUAACUUACAUUUAAACUAUUCAUAAGUUACUUUGCAACUUGC
This 582-nucleotide long non-coding RNA is filed under the name Brassica rapa (field mustard). RNAcentral describes it as "long non-coding RNA (BRAP_LNC006800)". The record is from RNAcentral. Lineage: Eukaryota; Viridiplantae; Streptophyta; Magnoliopsida; Brassicales; Brassicaceae.